RNA transcript from Bombyx mori (domestic silkworm), 388 nucleotides. It is a transcript of the gene named kunitz-type serine protease inhibitor homolog alpha-dendrotoxin, with no coding region annotated. The transcript is spliced from 2 exons. The record is from RefSeq and is a predicted model, not a curated record. Lineage: Eukaryota; Metazoa; Arthropoda; Insecta; Lepidoptera; Bombycidae.
UUAAUUUAUCUAAGCAAAACCACGACACCGCACUAACCUUAAUAUACUUUAGAAUGUCGAUAUCAACUCUGAUCGCCAGUUUAGUCUAGGCUUCAUAAAAGAUACGACGCUAUGCGUGUUCCACUAAUACUAUUGUUUUUUAUAUACGCUGUUUUAAAUAUUUGCAAUGGCCUUGGUACGCCUAUGACUUGAACAAAAGGAAAUGCAUUAAAUUUCCGUACUCGGGCUAUGGAGGGAACGUAAACAGAUUUGAUUCUUUAAAUGAAUGCGUAAAAGCGUGUGAUCCUGCAAAAUUAUCACUGGAAAAUUACUACAAAGCUGCUAGAAGUGUACUAAAACAACGAAAAUAUGAAGAAGAUUAAAAUUUGAAACUUUAACACCAAAAGAA